GUAGGGAGCGAGCGUUGUCCGGAAUUACUGGGUGUAAAGGGUGCGUAGGCGGGUAUGCAAGUCACAUGUGAAAUACCGGGGCUCAACUCCGGAACUGCAUGAGAAACUGCAUAUCUUGAGUGCAGGAGAGGUAAGCGGAAUUCCUAGUGUAGCGGUGAAAUGCGUAGAUAUUAGGAGGAACACCAGUGGCGAAGGCGGCUUACUGGACUGUAACUGACGCUGAAGCACGAAAGCGUGGGGAGC
RNAcentral lists this ribosomal RNA (243 nucleotides) under uncultured bacterium. Its description in RNAcentral is "partial 16S ribosomal RNA". It matches the Rfam family "Bacterial small subunit ribosomal RNA", at positions 527 to 769 of the family's 1533-position model. The record is from RNAcentral.